RNAcentral lists this ribosomal RNA (253 nucleotides) under uncultured bacterium. RNAcentral's name for it is "partial 16S ribosomal RNA". It matches the Rfam family "Bacterial small subunit ribosomal RNA", at positions 524 to 776 of the family's 1533-position model. The record is from RNAcentral.
UACGUAGGGUGCAAGCGUUGUUCGGAAUUACUGGGCGUAAAGGGCGCGUAGGCGGGCCUGUAUGUCGAUUGUGAAAGCCCAGGGCUUAACCUUGGAAUUGCAGUCGAAACUGCAGGUCUUGAAUGCCUGAGGGGAUGGCGGAAUUCCCGGUGUAGAAGUGAAAUUCGUAGAUAUCGGGAAGAACACCUGAGGCGAAGGCGGCUAUCUGGCGGUGCAUUGACGCUGAGGAGCGAAAGCGUGGGGAGCAAACAGG